UCGAGCGAGCUUGCCUAGAUGAAUUUGGUGCUUGCACCAGAUGAAACUAGAUACAAGCGAGCGGCGGACGGGUGAGUAACACGUGGGUAACCUGCCCAAGAGACUGGGAUAACACCUGGAAACAGAUGCUAAUACCGGAUAACAACACUAGACGCAUGUCUAGAGUUUAAAAGAUGGUUCUGCUAUCACUCUUGGAUGGACCUGCGGUGCAUUAGCUAGUUGGUAAGGUAACGGCUUACCAAGGCAAUGAUGCAUAGCCGAGUUGAGAGACUGAUCGGCCACAUUGGGACUGAGACACGGCCCAAACUCCUACGGGAGGCAGCAGUAGGGAAUCUUCCACAAUGGACGCAAGUCUGAUGGAGCAACGCCGCGUGAGUGAAGAAGGGUUUCGGCUCGUAAAGCUCUGUUGGUAGUGAAGAAAGAUAGAGGUAGUAACUGGCCUUUAUUUGACGGUAACUACUUAGAAAGUCACGGCUAACUACGUGCCAGCAGCCGCGGUAAUACGUAGGUGGCAAGCGUUGUCCGGAUUUAUUGGGCGUAAAGCGAGUGCAGGCGGUUCAAUAAGUCUGAUGUGAAAGCCUUCGGCUCAACCGGAGAAUUGCAUCAGAAACUGUUGAACUUGAGUGCAGAAGAGGAGAGUGGAACUCCAUGUGUAGCGGUGGAAUGCGUAGAUAUAUGGAAGAACACCAGUGGCGAAGGCGGCUCUCUGGUCUGCAACUGACGCUGAGGCUCGAAAGCAUGGGUAGCGAACAGGAUUAGAUACCCUGGUAGUCCAUGCCGUANACGAUGAGUGCUAAGUGUUGGGAGGUUUCCGCCUCUC
Molecule: ribosomal RNA, 820 nt
Filed under: uncultured bacterium
Lineage: Bacteria
Description: bacterial SSU rRNA
Rfam family: Bacterial small subunit ribosomal RNA
Source: RNAcentral